AGAGUUUGAUCCUGGCUCAGAUUGAACGCUGGCGGCAUGCCUUACACAUGCAAGUCGAACGGCAGCGCGGGGCAACCUGGCGGCGAGUGGCGAACGGGUGAGUAGUAUAUCGGAACGUACCCUGGAGUGGGGGAUAACGUAGCGAAAGUUACGCUAAUACCGCAUACGAUCUAAGGAUGAAAGUGGGGGAUCGCAAGACCUCAUGCUCCUGGAGCGGCCGAUAUCUGAUUAGCUAGUUGGCGGGGUAAAAGCCCACCAAGGCAACGAUCAGUAGCUGGUCUGAGAGGACGACCAGCCACACUGGAACUGAGACACGGUCCAGACUCCUACGGGAGGCAGCAGUGGGGAAUUUUGGACAAUGGGCGCAAGCCUGAUCCAGCAAUGCCGCGUGAGUGAAGAAGGCCUUCGGGUUG
This 413-nucleotide ribosomal RNA is filed under the name uncultured bacterium. RNAcentral's name for it is "bacterial SSU rRNA". It matches the Rfam family "Bacterial small subunit ribosomal RNA", at positions 8 to 425 of the family's 1533-position model. The record is from RNAcentral.